CGGAUCGUAGCGGAGUGGUUAACGCGUUGGCCUGCUAUAAAUCUCAUGGUUUAAGUCAGCCAAUUCCUUCGGGAGCGUGUGUUCGAAUCACACAGGUGUCG
This is a non-coding RNA of Epicoccum nigrum, 101 nucleotides long. The record is from the annotation of a GenBank genome assembly. NCBI's taxonomy places the organism in Eukaryota, Fungi, Ascomycota, Dothideomycetes, Pleosporales, Didymellaceae.